CUGGGCAAUCUGAUUCUAUCGGACCCUCUGCCCUCUAUCGACAUACUCCUCGCUGCUCUAUUGAUCGUAAAGGGCCUUCCAUAUGUCCACCCGCAUCCAGUGAUCCUUGUAGGACUUCCAGUCUAAAGGCGACUAAGAACUGGAAUGCUUGAUGGCAGACUGUCGUAGGCUAUGUAAUCCAUCUCAAAAUCUACGUAUGGCCACUUACUCAAAGAUCGGAUGGC
RNAcentral lists this long non-coding RNA (224 nucleotides) under Elaeis guineensis (African oil palm). RNAcentral's name for it is "long non-coding RNA (EGUI_LNC033554)". Lineage: Eukaryota; Viridiplantae; Streptophyta; Magnoliopsida; Arecales; Arecaceae. The record is from RNAcentral.